RNAcentral lists this ribosomal RNA (353 nucleotides) under uncultured bacterium. RNAcentral describes it as "bacterial SSU rRNA". It matches the Rfam family "Bacterial small subunit ribosomal RNA", at positions 46 to 392 of the family's 1533-position model. The record is from RNAcentral.
UCAGGCCUAACACAUGCAAGUCGAACGAUGAAGCUGGAGCUUGCUCCGGUGGAUUAGUGGCGAACGGGUGAGUAACACGUGAGCAAUCUGCCCUUGACUCUGGGAUAACUGCGGGAAACUGUAGCUAAUACCGGAUACGACACCUUGGGGCAUCCCAGGGUGUGGAAAGAAUUUCGGUCAAGGAUGAGCUCGCGGCCUAUCAGCUAGUUGGUGAGGUAAUGGCUCACCAAGGCGACGACGGGUAGCCGGCCUGAGAGGGUGACCGGCCACACUGGAACUGAGACACGGUCCAGACUCCUACGGGAGGCAGCAGUGGGGAAUAUUGCACAAAGAGGGAAAGCCUGAUGCAGCAA